This 453-nucleotide ribosomal RNA is filed under the name Prismognathus davidis. RNAcentral's name for it is "partial large subunit ribosomal RNA". It matches the Rfam family "Eukaryotic large subunit ribosomal RNA", at positions 705 to 1118 of the family's 3401-position model. RNAcentral also lists the same sequence under 1 other name. The record is from RNAcentral. Lineage: Eukaryota; Metazoa; Arthropoda; Insecta; Coleoptera; Lucanidae.
AACCUAAAGGCGAAAUGAAAGUGAAGGUCCGCCUCGCGCGGACCUAGGGAGGAUGGGCUCGCCCACGGGCGGCCCCGCACUCCCGGGGCGUCUCGUUCUCAUCGCGAGAGGAGGCGCACCCAGAGCGUACACGCUGGGACCCGAAAGAUGGUGAACUAUGCCUGGUCAGGACGAAGUCAGGGGAAACCCUGAUGGAGGUCCGUAGCGAUUCUGACGUGCAAAUCGAUCGUCGGAACUGGGUAUAGGGGCGAAAGACUAAUCGAACCAUCUAGUAGCUGGUUCCCUCCGAAGUUUCCCUCAGGAUAGCUGGCGCUCGCCGCGCGCGAGUCUCAUCCGGUAAAGCGAAUGAUUAGAGGCAUUGGGGUCGAAACGGCCUCAACCUAUUCUCAAACUUUAAAUGGGUGAGAUCUCCGGCUUGCUCGAACAAGUGAAGCCGCGAGAUUUCGGAUCAGA